RNAcentral lists this ribosomal RNA (374 nucleotides) under Phaeoclavulina cokeri. RNAcentral describes it as "partial 12S small subunit ribosomal RNA". It matches the Rfam family "Bacterial small subunit ribosomal RNA", at positions 362 to 803 of the family's 1533-position model. Lineage: Eukaryota; Fungi; Basidiomycota; Agaricomycetes; Gomphales; Gomphaceae. The record is from RNAcentral.
UUUUAGUCUAUGCUCGCAAGAAUGAACUAGCUAACUGGAAUCAUAGAUGUGUCAUCUUGAUAACGUAAAGGAAAAUAAUGAUGCUACUUUACUAAUAGUGUUGUCCAAAGUCUGGUGCCAGAAGACUCGGUAAGGCCAGAGACGCAAGCGUUAAUCAUCUUGAUCAGGCGUAAAGGGUUCGUAGGCUGCUUUAAAUUAAUUAAAGCUAGAAUCUAAUAGAGGUCACUGUCAGAGAAUACUUAGAGUAGGGUUGACAUCUUCAGAUACUAAGUAGAAUUCUAAUUAGCGAAGGCUCUUUUCCAAUUAAUGAUUGACGCUGAGGAACGAAGGGGAGGAUCGACAAUAGGAUUAGAUACCCUGGCAUCCCUCUCUGU